This 380-nucleotide ribosomal RNA is filed under the name uncultured bacterium. RNAcentral's name for it is "bacterial SSU rRNA". It matches the Rfam family "Bacterial small subunit ribosomal RNA", at positions 30 to 414 of the family's 1533-position model. The record is from RNAcentral.
AUUGAACGCUGGCGGCAUGCCUUACACAUGCAAGUCGAACGGCAGCGCGGGGGCAACCUGGCGGCGAGUGGCGAACGGGUGAGUAAUAUAUCGGAACGUACCCUAGAGUGGGGGAUAACGUAGCGAAGUUACGCUAAUACCGCAUACGAUCUAAGGAUGAAAGUGGGGGAUCGCAAGACCUCAUGCUCCUGGAGCGGCCGAUAUCUGAUUAGCUAGUUGGUGGGGAAAGGCCUACCAAGGCAUCGAUCAGUAGCUGGUCUGAGAGGACGACCAGCCACACUGGAACUGAGACACGGUCCAGACUCCUACGGGAGGCAGCAGUGGGGAAUUUGGACAAUGGGCGAAAGCCUGAUCCAGCAAUGCCGCGUGAGUGAAGAAGG